GACGAACGCUGGCGGCGUGCCUAACACAUGCAAGUCGAACGGAGCACUUCGGUGCUUAGUGGCGAACGGGUGAGUAACGCGUGAAGAACCUGCCUUUCAGUGGGGACAACAGUUGGAAACGACUGCUAAUACCGCAUAAUGUUAUUUGGGGGCAUCCUCGAAUAACCAAAGAUUUAUUGCUGAAAGAUGGCUUCGCGUCUGAUUAGCUAGAUGGCGGGGUAACGCCCACCAUGGCGACGAUCAGUAGCCGGUCUGAGAGGAUGAACGGCCACAUUGGGACUGAGAUACGGCCCAG
RNAcentral lists this ribosomal RNA (295 nucleotides) under uncultured bacterium. Its description in RNAcentral is "partial 16S ribosomal RNA". It matches the Rfam family "Bacterial small subunit ribosomal RNA", at positions 28 to 334 of the family's 1533-position model. The record is from RNAcentral.